Haliotis rufescens (red abalone) is the source of this 4521-nucleotide long non-coding RNA. RefSeq lists it as uncharacterized. The record is from RefSeq and is a predicted model, not a curated record. The transcript has 2 exons. Lineage: Eukaryota; Metazoa; Mollusca; Gastropoda; Lepetellida; Haliotidae.
CUCUUAAAGAUCAGGGCUCACUUGCACAAAGCGAUCUUAGCACUAAGACUAUCAUAAGCCUAUGUUAAGUAUGGAGUUACGAUCAUCUUAGCGCUAAGAUCGCUUUGUGCAAGUGGGUCCAGAUCUGUUGCAGCAAUAUGAUAGCUCUCUGCAUGAAGAACCCCUUCAUAGAACCAAACCUGUAUGCUGUGGUUGCCUGCCCCAGUCGACCUCGUAGCCACAACAGCGAUCCAAUAUGUGUUUGAUCGCCUGACUAGGGUGGUUGUCUAGUAGCCACAACAGCGAUCCAAUAUGUGUUUGAUCGCCUAAAUAGGGUGGUUGUCUAGUAGCCACAUCAGCGACCCAAUAUGUGGUUGGUCACCUGACUAGGGCGGUUGUCUAGUAGCAGCAACAGCGACCCAAUAUGUGGUUGGUCGCCUGACUACGGUGGUUGUCUAGUAGCCACAACAGCGACCCAAUAUGUGGUUGUUGCCUGACUAGGGUGGUUGUCUAGUAGCCACAACAGCGACCCAAUAUGUGGUUGUUGCCCGAACAAGCUGCCUAUCAAUGUAGAUCUUAGAGAUUGACAAUUGUAAACUAAAUAUCAAUCAAUUAUUAAAAAUAAAUAUCGGAGAAGUAACUUUUAGCAAAUAUGCAAAAAGCUCAGAGACAAAACAACACAUUUAUGCAUGGAUUACUUUGUGGACAUUUAAGAUACAUGUAUAACAAAGUCAGUUGCUCUCCGUCUUUGGCAAUGGACAAGACAAGUCUGCUCCGGUGAAUUAAAACUUUAUUUCAUCACAAUAGUUUAUGUGAGAUAUUAUCAAUGAUACAAUUUUCAUAUUGAUAAUCAUAACUAUUUCUUCCCUUCUGAUUAUUGAUCUUUUUGGCCAGCCUUACCAGUCUCACGAGGGGGGUUGUCUUGUUGGCGCAACAGCGUGGGGCUCAAUAAUCUGUGGUUGCCAACUCAGUGGGCUUAACCCGGGUAGUUGUGUACACAAUUGUGUUUUCCAAUGAAAAAGUCUGAAAUUGCAAACAGUUAAAUUGAAAAACAGCAUAAGCUCUGGAUGGCAAGGGCCGAUAUCUACCAACCAAUCCCAGAACUUCUAUCAUUAUGUAGAGUAGCAAUGCUAACUUGAUGGAGACAAGACUGGCACGGACACUAGCGAGUACGGUUCAUUAGAACAUGAAAGUGCAUCAGAACAACAGCCAAUCAAAUGAUUACUCUCACAUGAGCCUGAUGUGAUUGGUUACUUUGUGGGAAUGCCUAGUAUCAAGAAUUCUUCCAAAUCUAUGAUCACUGGAUUGUCGAUGUACUGGGUGGGAAGACAGUCAUGUCGUUCAUGGAAUUAGCAACAAUUGCUGUAUAUUUGUGCCGUGUACAUAUACUGUGAAUAGCAGGAGUGACGUCAUGUACAACACCAGCCGUCAGGUUGACGUCGGCGUUGGUGUCGAUGACUUGGUGCACCCAUUAUGCCAACCUAUACUGAACAUGUUAGGGAUCAUGACUUUCUGGGAGGAUAUCUCUGUGAAAUGUGUUGUCAGUCUUCACUACAAAAAGAUAUCCCCUAAAAUAUUCAUGGUCCUGAACUUUAUUUGUCGGUAUAUAAUGGUUUGGUUACAUGGAGCCGUUUCAGUUUUCUUUGUAUCACAGUGACUGUUGCUGCUGUGGUUCGUGGUAAAAUAUUUCACUUUUCCUCAUUAGUGUUUAUUUAGUUAUUUUUUCCCUUUGACUUAAUGAACUUAGCAAGCAAAAAUAACAACUUCCUGAAUUCUUUGAUUUAUUUCGUCACUCUGCCGUUAAUGUGACCUUGAUCUUUGUUUUUAUGAACUUUUAGUUAGGCUGAAUAAAUACACCCUAUCUACGAUGUUCAUAUACUACUGGAAAAAGUUGAGGGCCACUGAUUCUUUCAUAUUACUAUAGUUAAUCUGCCAUGAACUAUAGUAAUAUGGGGGCGGUCGGGUAGCCCAGUGGUUAAAGUGUUCGCUCGUCACGCCGAAGACCCGGGUUCGAUUCCCGACAUGGGUACAAUGUGUGAAACCCAUUUCUGGUGUCCCCCGCCGUGACAUUGCUGGAAUAUUGCUAAAAGCGGCGUAAAACCAUACUCACUCACUCACUCUAGUAAUAUGAAUGAAUCGCGUGGUCCUUAACUGUUUUUCAGUACUUUAUUGAUGAUAAUGUUAACAAGUAUUCAUGUACAUGACAUUAAGUGCGUUUCUUAUAUUUCAAUGGUUAAAUUUAUGUUUUGGUGUAUUGUAAACUUACUUUUAAUACAAUAUGGGCUUUGAUGAUGGUUUAUCAGAGUCAAAGAGAAAAAACUUGUUUUCUGAGGAUAUUCACGGUCAUGUUUCAUUGUAUCACUGGCAGACAUUUAAUCCAGCUGCUUGUAGAGACGACCCUGUUCACUAGUAGCAAGCUUUGUACAUAGCUCAUUGAACAGAUGGAGAAAGACUGUUAUAGAAGCUUAAGGUACACUGUUACGCAUUAGUUACCCAUAGGAAUUUGGUUUUGAUUCAAAUGUUUGUCCCUUCAUAAAGAUUGUGGCAUUAAAUUUGUCUUCAUGUUUGUUGUAUACAUGUCCAUUGGGAAUGAUUAUGUAGUUCUGAAAUAGAAAGAAAAUUAUUUGAGCCAGCUUUUAUCAAGAAGCAUUGGCAAUACAAAAGGUAUAAAUACACUCAAAUCUUUGGACAUAUUUGGCAUUCAAAUGUAAAGAGUUUUUGUUAAAACACCGUGUUCACUCAGUCCAGAUUUUCCCGAUUUUCCCGAUUUCACAUAAAACAACCCUUAAGCACCAAUAGCCAUCAACCAUUACUAUAUAUGCUGAAACUAUCAUUUAAUACAGAAAGUAAAUCAAUUUUUUUUGUACCUUUAGCUUGUUUUCAAAUGCUUCUUAUCAAAAUUGGAAAAUAUUGUGCAGAUCAGAUAUUCCCUGUGAGUGUGUCUCUUGCAAACUUCAGAACAUUUUCUUUCUAAUUCAGAGUCUACAAUGGGACUGUGGGUGAUUAACACCAGGAAAGACAACUCUUGCAUGUCCUCAUACACAGCCUUCUGAGGCACAGCAGAUUCUUGUACAGAGUUGUGUCCCUUAGAUAUGCCAUAAAACUAUGUGGUUUGAAUCCUGUCGUCCUGAUCAUGUUUCUAGUUCAGCACCAUACCCGUGCUUGUGGGUUUCUUCAAAGUUGUAUAUGUCGAGGACCUGCAUUUCAGGAUUUCCUCCCAUUUAAAGCUCACAUGUUGUGAUAUUACUGAAAUACUGUUCUAAGUAUACAAGCUUACUCAUCUACUGUAUUAAUCGAGACAAAGCUCACUGAAACAGCUUAGGUCAUCGUAGGUGAAAUUCAAUUUCACGACCUUGCAAAAUAUGUUCCAACUGACUUAUCCGAGGAUAGCUCCUACAGUCCAUAUUACCAGGACUCUGUGACAAUGUUAACAUGGCAUCAUCAGGAUCAGUCCUUAAGUGCGUAGCCUUGUUCAGUGAUGCGUCAGUGUCUGUCUGUAUACAUGUUUGUGAAUACUCAUCACGAUAGUCUAUUCUCCAUCUGUCGUCACUUCCGUUGCGCCAUUAGUACUCCGUGGAGACAGUGAUGGUCAGCUUCAAGCGUGUCAUUCCUCAUACAGUCAGUCAGUCAGUUUGUGUCAUGAAAGGGAAUACAUCCGUGUACAGUCUUGAGUCUGGCACUGGCACUGGUCAAACUGGCAGACACUAUUCCCUUUACAACUUGUUCUGAUGUCUAUGGUGUUGGGGUGGCAGAGUUGUGUCCCUUAUUUGAUGGAUCUGCUGGCCAUAUGUUUAAUCCCAUAUUUACCUGACUGUCGUGUUUUUGUUUUUCUGCAUCAGACUUGGUUUUCACCAAGUCACAACACGCGACACUUUUGGCUUCACCUCUCGCAUCAAACUGGCGUAUCAUGAUAAGUAAAAUACUGCUUUUAGUCAGGCAUGGUUGGCCGCCCAGUUGUCUAAGGCACCAAAUACCCAACAGAAGCCAUUAAUCAUGGGUUUGAACCCUCGUUUGCUCAGGUUCAAGGUUUGUCAGCGCCAAACCCGUAAUUGUGUUUCUCCAAAGUGAUAACAUCUAAGAUCUUCUUCCAUUCUAACUUUCCUCCCACAUCAAUGUCAUAUAACUGAAAUACUGUUUGAAGCGGCGUUAUACCCAUACUCACUCACCAAGAGGUAUAUACCCCAACACAAGAUGUUUUGUACAUGUCAAAGCUCAGAUGAGAAAAGUUGAUUUUACUUUUUAAUUGGUUAAAUUAAGUUCUAAGUCAUUAUCAAGUUUAAUUUAAAGAGGAUUAUUUGACAAUCUUAUUAAAUCAGAAUUUUAUGCCGAGACGAUGGCUCUGUGUGAGGGGUAUGUCACAUCAGAGUAAGGGUUUGAUCAAAUAUUCCACCAGUAGUUGGAGUCUGUGCCAGGGCUGGGUCUGUACUGGAUGUAUGUGGUACCUGCAUGUUGUCAAACAAUAUAUUCACCAAUGACUUGUAACUGUAUGGCAAGGAAUACAGUUUGUGUUGAAUAUUUGUAUUAAACAUAUAAACGUCAAAA